Molecule: ribosomal RNA, 464 nt
Filed under: uncultured bacterium
Lineage: Bacteria
Description: partial 16S ribosomal RNA
Rfam family: Bacterial small subunit ribosomal RNA
Source: RNAcentral
CUACGGGACGCAGCAGUGAGGAAUAUUGGUCAAUGGGCGCAAGCCUGAUGCAGCCAUGCCGCGUGUAUGAAGAAGGCCUUCGGGUUGUAAAGUACUUUCAGCGGGGAGGAAGGGAGUAAAGUUAAUACCUUUGCUCAUUGACGUUACCCGCAGAAGAAGCACCGGCUAACUCCGUGCCAGCAGCCGCGGUAAUACGGAGGGUGCAAGCGUUAAUCGGAAUUACUGGGCGUAAAGCGCACGCAGGCGGUUUGUUAAGUCAGAUGUGAAAUCCCCGGGCUCAACCUGGGAACUGCAUCUGAUACUGGCAAGCUUGAGUCUCGUAGAGGGGGGUAGAAUUCCAGGUGUAGCGGUGAAAUGCGUAGAGAUCUGGAGGAAUACCGGUGGCGAAGGCGGCCCCCUGGACGAAGACUGACGCUCAGGUGCGAAAGCGUGGGGAGCAAACAGGAUUAGAUACCCCCGUAGUC